GUGGGGAAUAUUGCGCAAUGGGGGAAACCCUGACGCAGCAACGCCGCGUGAAGGAAGAAGGCCUUCGGGUUGUAAACUUCUUUGAUGAGGGACGAAGGAAGUGACGGUACCUCAAGAACAAGCCACGGCUAACUACGUGCCAGCAGCCGCGGUAAUACGUAGGUGGCGAGCGUUGUCCGGAAUUACUGGGUGUAAAGGGCGCGUAGGCGGGGAUGCAAGUCAGAUGUGAAAUACCGGGGCUUAACUCCGGGGCUGCAUCUGAAACUGUGUUUCUUGAGUGUCGGAGAGGAAAGUGGAAUUCCCAGUGUAGCGGUGAAAUGCGUAGAUAUUGGGAGGAACACCAGUGGCGAAGGCGACUUUCUGGACGACAACUGACGCUGAGGCGCGAAAGCGUGGGUAGCAAACAGGAUUAGAAACCCUAGUAGUCC
This 428-nucleotide ribosomal RNA is filed under the name uncultured bacterium. RNAcentral's name for it is "bacterial SSU rRNA". It matches the Rfam family "Bacterial small subunit ribosomal RNA", at positions 354 to 796 of the family's 1533-position model. The record is from RNAcentral.